Molecule: transfer RNA, 88 nt
Filed under: Candidatus Omnitrophota bacterium
Lineage: Bacteria; Pseudomonadati; Candidatus Omnitrophota
Also listed under: 1 other name
Description: tRNA-Ser
Rfam family: tRNA
About the family: Transfer RNA (tRNA) molecules are approximately 80 nucleotides in length. Their secondary structure includes four short double-helical elements and three loops (D, anti-codon, and T loops).
Source: RNAcentral
GGAGGGGUGCCGGAGUGGACAAACGGGCCUCACUCGAAAUGAGGUGUCCCGAUUUUCGGGACCGGGAGUUCGAAUCUCCCCCCCUCCG